This 253-nucleotide ribosomal RNA is filed under the name uncultured bacterium. Its description in RNAcentral is "partial 16S ribosomal RNA". It matches the Rfam family "Bacterial small subunit ribosomal RNA", at positions 524 to 776 of the family's 1533-position model. The record is from RNAcentral.
UACAGAGGGUGCGAGCGUUGUCCGGAAUCACUGGGCGUAAAGGGCGCGUAGGCGGUCUCUUAAGCGUGUGGUGAAAGCCCGGGGCUCAACUCCGGGUCGGCCGUGCGAACUGGGGGACUGGAGCUUGUCAGAGGCAGGCGGAAUUCCGGGUGUAGCGGUGGAAUGCGUAGAGAACCGGAAGAACACCGGUGGCGAAGGCGGCCUGCUGGGACAGUGCUGACGCUGAGGCGCGAAAGCGUGGGGAGCAAACAGG